Long non-coding RNA from Manis pentadactyla (Chinese pangolin), 557 nucleotides. RefSeq lists it as uncharacterized. The record is from RefSeq and is a predicted model, not a curated record. The transcript is spliced from 3 exons. Lineage: Eukaryota; Metazoa; Chordata; Mammalia; Pholidota; Manidae.
UCACACCUAGUUUUAUCUGUUCCAUGACCUACAUGGUACUAGUGCUGCUCUGAUUCCUGGUCCUGUGUGAAGGGGAGGCAAAGAUGGACCCAAAGAAGUGAAGGAGGACAGAAUGGCAGGUGACACUCAACAGCUCACAAGCUUCCUGAUCCCCAGAGUCCUGCCCGUGUGGCCCGGACUAAUGGGCUGCCAUGCCCGUGCCUGGUGCCGAGUGGGGUGAUGAGUGGGAAUUCUGAUCUGUUUAUGCUCCAGGGAUAGGAGAGAACGGGAACUUGGAGAUUCAUGACGUAAGGAGCCCGUGAGAAGGCACCACUGUGAACCAGGAAGGGGUCUCUCACCAGGAGGCCAUGCUGGCACCUUGACUUGGACUUUUCAGUCUCUGGAACUGUGGGAAAUAAAUUUCUGUCUACAGGCUGCUCUGUCUCUGGUGUUUUGUUAUAGCAGCUCAAAUGGACAAAAAGCUUUCUCAGUUAAAAUAUAUUUAAACAUUUAUAUAUACACAUGUAUUUAUUUAUAUAUAUCAUAAGUUAUCCACAUGUGCUAGUAAUACAAUUUGA